This 482-nucleotide ribosomal RNA is filed under the name uncultured soil bacterium. Its description in RNAcentral is "bacterial SSU rRNA". It matches the Rfam family "Bacterial small subunit ribosomal RNA", at positions 8 to 495 of the family's 1533-position model. The record is from RNAcentral.
AGAGUUUGAUCCUGGCUCAGAAUCAACGCUGGCAGCGUGCCUAACACAUGCAAGUCGAGCGAGAAAAGGGGAGCAAUCCCCUGAGUACAGCGGCGCACGGGUGAGUAACACGUGGGUAAUCUGCCCUGGAGUGGGGAAUAACACCGGGAAACCGGUGCUAAUACCGCAUACGAUCACAGAGUCUGCGGAUUUUGUGAUGAAAGGAGCAAUUUGCUCUAGGAGGAGCCCGCGGCUGAUUAGCUAGUUGGUGAGGUAAUGACUCACCAAGGCAACGAUCAGUAUCCGGUCUGAGAGGACGGUCGGACACACUGGAACUGAGACGCGGUCCAGACUCCUACGGGAGGCAGCAGUGGGGAAUUUUUGGCAAUGGAGGCAACCCUGACCAAGCAACGCCGCGUGGGUGAUGAAGUCUCUUGGGACGUAAAACCCUUUCGACGGGGACGAAAGCCGCAAGGUUGACGGUACCCGUAGAAGAGGCCCCG